CCUGGCUCAGGACGAACGCUGGCGGCGUGCUUAACACAUGCAAGUCGAACGGUGACGAGGAGCUUGCUCCUCCGAUCAGUGGCGAACGGGUGAGUAACACGUGAGUAACCUGCCCCAGACUCUGGGAUAACAGUUGGAAACAGCUGCUAAUACCGGAUACGAGACGGAGAGGCAUCUCUACCGUCUGGAAAGUUUUUCGGUCUGGGAUGGACUCGCGGCCUAUCAGCUUGUUGGUGAGGUAAUGGCUCACCAAGGCGACGACGGGUAGCCGGCCUGAGAGGGCGACCGGCCACACUGGGACUGAGACACGGCCCAGACUCCUACGGGAGGCAGCAGUGGGGAAUAUUGCACAAUGGGCGAAAGCCUGAUGCAGCGACGCCGCGUGAGGGAUGACGGGCCUCGGUU
This 405-nucleotide ribosomal RNA is filed under the name uncultured bacterium. RNAcentral's name for it is "bacterial SSU rRNA". It matches the Rfam family "Bacterial small subunit ribosomal RNA", at positions 18 to 423 of the family's 1533-position model. The record is from RNAcentral.